GCAUGCACCACCACAUCUGU
RNAcentral lists this unclassified non-coding RNA (20 nucleotides) under Mus musculus (house mouse). RNAcentral describes it as "oocyte_clustered_small_RNA11541". The record is from RNAcentral. Lineage: Eukaryota; Metazoa; Chordata; Mammalia; Rodentia; Muridae.